CUAAUGUAGCUGAUGUGGAGCCAGAGUUUCUGUCCUUAUGCCAUAUUUCCCACCAAUAGAUUGUGUCCCAAGGAAAGCCAGUUCCAAGGCCGCCUGCCAGUCCCUUGGCACAAAGACACCAGCAGUCUCAGACAAGGCACCCAAGGGGAUCCCACCAGAGGCCAUGAGGGAGUACAUGGCCAUCAUGGAUACACUGCUGGGGCUGUUGCCCUCAGCCUCAGGGCAGCCCAGUGGACACCCAGAAGAGGACAGAAUCCUGAAUCACUAACAGGAGAAAGGGAUAUACCCAGACCCAAGCUCCUGAGUUACACUGACAAGCUGUGCUCCUAGGAGGACUUUGUUACCAAGGUGGGCUGUACAGAUCUAGGACGUGUAAGAUCUGGACCAUAACCACCUGGAGUUCUUGUAUCAAGCUCAGUUCACUAGCUACUGCCUCUGUGUGUACGUGUGUGUGUGAGUAGCUGGUGACCCAGCUGAUCUGCAAUCCCAAGGUGUGGAUGGUGAUGUGAUGGUCACUGCUUUCUGCUUCCACUUGAAGUCCUCUUGUUUGGUUACUUUCUGAAAGGACAAUGAAAGACCUCAUCCUCCUGUUCCAGGUGGAGACCAUCAUUCACCUACAAUUCCUGGCAGGACUGCUUUCACCAAAUUCACAACUGGAUCUCACGGCCCUAUCCAAGGAGUUGGAGAAGGAGGAAGGGAUGACCCCUGGCCAGGUGGUGGAGAAGAACCUCUCACCCUUGAAUGGAGACGGGACUGUGGGGACAACCCCCAGUCACAGUGCACCUCUGUUGAACCCCAGUCCUUCUGAGUCAGCAGCCCAUCACGGUGCAGAGAUGACCAUGGCCCCCACCUUGGGGUCAGUGCUGAGACCUCCUCCCAACGGAUGUCUUUCUGGGACCCUCAGAGACACAUGGACCCAGACACUCACCUAUCCAGACCUAAGGACAAUGCUGUCUUCUCUGGGCACCAGAAGUGUCCCUUACUGGGGGACAUUAAGCCUACUUCUCCCCAUAGCCACGGAGCCCCCUCCCCAAGGGGGCCCAAGAAAGCCAACAGUUUCAGAAGAGAAUCCUCGGCUGAUAACCCACGACCAGUGGGCAUCUCCAGUGAGGACGAGGAGGAACUUCCCAGCCUGUCCUUCCUCCUGGCCUCCCAGCACCACCUGCUGCCCUUGGGGUUUGUCCAGAGCCAGUCCUCUGCCCUGCCUUGGAGCUGGGAAUCCUUGCAGAGCACCAAAACCCCUCUCUAACCAUGGAAGUGGUUCUCCCCCAUCUGCUAUCAAGUACAUGAAGUGA
This 1295-nucleotide long non-coding RNA is filed under the name Oryctolagus cuniculus (rabbit). RNAcentral's name for it is "lncRNA (ENSOCUG00000036518.1)". Lineage: Eukaryota; Metazoa; Chordata; Mammalia; Lagomorpha; Leporidae. The record is from RNAcentral.